This is a non-coding RNA of Peromyscus maniculatus bairdii (prairie deer mouse), 1021 nucleotides long. NCBI's taxonomy places the organism in Eukaryota, Metazoa, Chordata, Mammalia, Rodentia, Cricetidae. The record is from RefSeq and is a predicted model, not a curated record.
GCAAGACAGAGACAGAGAUAAAUUAAUUGAAAUGUUUCCUUCACAUGUAACCACUCAAAUAAAGAUGGUAUCCCCAUGGCCCAGCUGCUUAAUCAGUGGGCAGAUCACAGAGCUCCACUGUCUUCUAACGGGAUGGCCAUAUGUGGACAGGAAAACUGAAGUCAUGGUGCAGGGGCCUUCUGUGGUCUCUCUCCUUUGGAAGCCCUAUCAGUAGCUUCCAUAAGCACAGCUUCCAACACCUUGGGACGGUAAGUGGAGCUAGGGGAGCUUGAGCAACCUCCUUGUUUAGCUUGUUGUUAGUUAUUUGCUUUUUAUUGUGAGUUCUGAGGGCCGUGCCACUUGGCAGCAUGCUCCCAUUAGCUUUGCUAUCUGUAACACUUCUGAUGUGAGGUAACCAUGGUGACAGCUGUUAAGGAGCAUUUUAGGAGCUCUGAAACCGCUGCAGCCUAUCUCAAACUGGUCGAAACCACUGACCUUCCACUAAGACUUGCACAGUUGUCUGUCUUCAGUUCUACAUCCUGUCUCUGCACAUCACCGGGUUUUGAAGGUCAUCAGGAAGGCAGUCCCGCCUCUGGGCUCAUGCAGCACUUCAGUUUUGAAGAGACUCCAGCCAGCUGGAGCGCAGCAAACCUGGCUCUGGCAGGCCUUGCUUUUCUCCAGUUCCCGCUGCUUUGCUGAAAACCGUUAGAUUACAUCCUUAAAGCCAGUCACCAAGGUGGAUGAACCCAAGCUCGGAAUGCAGAGCUAAUUGUAAGGAUAAGAGUGGCACAUGAGCCGACCAACCAGGUCCUGGCUAAAAACUGCCUUCCACAAGACCUGAGCCAAGUUGGUCUUCUCACCUAAUAUGUGAACUAGCAAUUAUUAAAUAAAGAUUACUCUGAAACUCAGUGGGGUAAAACACUAAUCAUUAACGCUCAUACCUUACACAUGUGCAGAUUGGCUGUGGGUUGGGCAGCUUUAUUUCUCUCUGCAAAGACACUGUGUACUGUGUACCCUGGGGUGGCCCUGCUCCACAUGGAGU